RNAcentral lists this long non-coding RNA (11792 nucleotides) under Fragaria vesca (wild strawberry). Its description in RNAcentral is "long non-coding RNA (FVES_LNC002788)". The record is from RNAcentral. Lineage: Eukaryota; Viridiplantae; Streptophyta; Magnoliopsida; Rosales; Rosaceae.
UUUUUUUUUUUUUUUUUUUCUCUCUGUUAUUGUAUUUUAACUUGAGAACUGGAACUUGAAACACAUUGGUUCCUCCCAUUAUACAUUCAGCUCCAGGAUCAUCUCAUGGUAUAAUUUCACAUGAAAAACUUGCCCAAAUUCAAAGAACUGACAAUUCCCUUGAUGAUGCCCAAGUGAAAGAAAAGUCUAGAAUUCAUCCUUCUAAGACCACUGGUAAUGCUUACAAAUUUGACCAUAAGCUUUUUGUUCCUUUAUUUGUCUCCUACAUAUGAUUCUACAGAUCAAAUUUUGACAGUGCCUUUUUCAAUUAACAGGAAAGAUGGUCUUACCCUUUACUCCAUUGACAGUGGUGUUCCAAGAUGUGCAAUACUAUGUUAUUCCUAUGGUACCCUAUUUAGUAUUAGUGUAAAGUUGAUGUGUUUGUAGAGUUAAUAGCUUUUCACAUCACAUGACAUUGUUUAUUUCUUGCUUAUUGUCGUGUUCCAGGAAACCAGGGAGCCGGGAUUUAGUCAGAAGAAACUUCAACUUCUAAGUGACAUUACUGGGGCAUUUAGACCUGGUGUUCUUACAGCAUUGAUGGGCGUCAGCGGCGCUGGGAAAACUACUCUUCUUGAUGUUCUUGCAGGAAGAAAGACUACUGGCUACAUUGAAGGGGACAUAAAAAUUGGUGGAUAUCCCAAGGUUCAAGAAACAUUUGCUAGGGUGUUGGGUUACUGUGAGCAAACCGAUGUUCAUUCUCCACAAAUCACUGUAGAGGAGUCUUUGAUGUUUUCUGCUUGGCUGCGCCUGGCUUCUCAGAUCGACUCAAAAACAAAAACUGUAAGUGUAAGACUGAUAUUUGUAGAAUAUUGUAUCAGAUGUUUGGUUCAGAUACAUUUUUGAGAUAAUAGUCUAAAAAUACUGUCAUAUGUAACAGGAGUUUGUCAAUGAAGUCCUUGAGACCAUUGAGCUUGAUGGAAUAAAAGAUUCCUUGGUUGGAAUACCUGGUGUUAGUGGUCUAUCAAAUGAGCAGCGUAAGCGGCUUACAAUUGCUGUUGAGCUUGUUUCAAAUCCCUCCAUAAUCUUCAUGGAUGAGCCUACAACUGGUUUGGAUGCAAGAGCUGCUGCAAUAGUCAUGCGAGCAGUGAAGAAUGUAUCUGAUACGGGAAGAACAAUUGUUUGCACCAUCCACCAACCGAAUAUUGAUAUAUUUGAAGCAUUUGAUGAGGUAAAACCAAAAGGCUUGGCUUCUAGCUGCAUUAUGCUUAGACAAGGUUGAAACAGUGAAGUGUAUUGCAGCAACUUUAUCAAAUCUUGAUGAGAAAUUUCUUAUUUUACAACUGAAGCUAAUUCUUUUGAAAACUGGAGGGCAUAUGAUCUACUCAGGACAGGUGGGUCAGCACUCGAGUAGAGUUAUCGAGUAUUUUCAGGUUAGACCGCUUCUGGUAUCAGGACUGAACAUACUAGUUGCUUUAAGCAAAAUAAGUUUUAACAAACCAUCGAUCUGCUGAACUUUCUUUCUUUAUAAAUUAAACUUUAUGGCAGAGUAUUCCUGGGGUUCAAAAGAUCAAAAGUAACUACAAUCCAGCAACAUGGAUGUUAGACAUCACUUCCACAUCAGCUGAAGCUGAACUUGGUGUUAAUUUUGCCCAAAUAUACAGAGAAUCUAGUUUAUAUGAGUGAGUACAGUUACAUCAUUAAUUAUCUAGUUGAGUGGUAUUGACUGACGUUAAAAAUGUUUGCCUGAUAUGCAUGACAGCUUUCCUAUAAUAACUUUGCAGGAAUAAUAUAGAGCUUGCAAGACAGUUGAGUACUCCACCUCAUGGUUCCAGAGAUCUGCAUUUUGCUACCCGAUUUUCGCAAAAUGGCUGGAUGCAGUUCAAAUCUUGCUUAUGGAAGCAGCACUUGUCUUAUUGGAGGAGUCCGUCAUACAACUUGAUGCGCAUCAUGCAUACGGUGGUAGCAGCUCUAAUUUUUGGAGCAUUGUAUUGGAACCAGGGGAGGAAAAUGUAAGCCCUUAUCUGUGCAUGCAUAAUGGAAAAUGAUAGACAGAAGUGUUCUAUUCUAUUCUUAAGUUACAGUAUUACUCAACUUAUACCUAACCACCCCUUUUUCCAUUUCAAUGUGGUUCAAUAUUCUGUUAGAACCGACCAGCAGAACUUAUUCAAUAUACUUGGUUCUAUGUAUACCGGUGUCAUCUUCUUGGGCAUAAAUAACUGCGCAACCGUUCUGCGAUAUGUUGAAACGGAGAGAACUGUCAUGUAUCGUGAAAAAUUUGUGGGGAUGUAUUCACCAUUGGCCUUUUCAUUGGCACAGGUACACUUUUCUUAAAUGUACUUACAAGUUCUUGCUACUUGCCAGAAGCUUAAAUUUGUUGUUGUGCUAAAGUUCUUGAUAUUUGUAGGUGGCGGUAGAAGUUCCCUAUAUAUUGAUCCAGGCAGUCAUAUUUAUGAUCAUCACAUAUCCAAUGAUUGGAUACUACGCUUCAGCAUAUAAGGUUUUCUGGUAUUUCUAUGCCAUAUUUUGUUCACUGCUAUACUACAAUUACAUGGGAAUGAUGCUUGUCUCGUUGACACCAAACUUCAUGGUAGCUGCAAUUCUAUCCUCAGUGUUCUACACAUUGUAUAACCUGUUUGCUGGUUUUCUGAUUCCUAAGCCGGUAAGCCUAAGCCUACCCAUUCUCAUUAACAUGUAUAAAUCCAAGUAGAUAGCUAUAGUAAAAUCUAAAAGAAAAUGAAUUCGAUAUGUUAUUCUUGCAGCAAAUUCCAAAAUGGUGGAUUUGGUUGUACUAUCUGACUCCCUCAUCUUGGUCACUAAACGGUUUGCUCACUUCACAAUAUGGAGACAUAAACACGGAGAUUAUCAUAUUUGGGGAACCCAAAACAGUGUCUGCCUUCUUGAAAGACUACUUUGGGUUUCACCAUGAUCAGUUGGCUCUGGUAGCAGUAGUUCUCAUUGCAUUUCCCAUAACUUUUGCAUCAAUUUUCGCCUACUGCAUUGGGCGGUUGAACUUCCAGAAAAGGUGAUUGGGAUCUCCUGUUCACAUAGAUCAGUAUAUAUAGCCAGGAAAUCAGUUCCUUGUAGUUUCUGUACCGCAUAUGGUUGUAACUUUAUGUUUUAAUGAAUUAAUCAAUAAUUGAAGGUAAUCAGCACCAUGUAGCUUGUGAUGUUUCAAAGUGUGGUCUUUCUGGGAGCUUAUCCGCUUGUCCACCUAUAUAGCUAGACUUGACAUGUGCAUACUACUAACGAAAACAUUGGAGUACAUAUACAACCUGGUUUAUAUUAAAGGAAGAAAAUCAGGUUCAAAUGAUUAUUUGUAUCAAUGGAAUGAUUUCAGCUAUUAGAGUGAUUGUUGGAUCAAAAUUAUAUUUAGAUAAUUAGACUUGAUACUUUCCUAGAAUAGUUUCAUUCUCAUUGUAUAUAUGUAAGAGUGCUGUAUCUAUUUUAGAGAUCUAUACACAAACCUUCAUACUCAUAUUCUUAUAUGGUAUCAGAGCACGGAUCUUGGUGACUCUAGAGACUCAUCCAUCUUCCGCAAAUACAUCAAACACUAUCAAACAAAACACUACCAAAUCGACGUUAUGGCCUACACAGAAGGACACAUUGUCCAAAGCCCACAAACAAACAUGACAUACCUACUUAUCCUACACCAUCUCGACGCAUAGUCACACCUACUUGCAAUAUUACACAUACUGAUCCUCAUUCGACAUUAUAUUGGAUCGUGGACAGUGGAGCAACGGACCAUGUUUCUUAUCUAUCACCUACUCACAACAAAAUUACAACAUCUCAUGAUUUUGUUGGUCUACCUAAUGGUGGGAAAGCCACCAUUGAGAGCAUUGGAACAAUUAAGUUGUCAACAGAUUUGAAUCUUGAUGGUGUUCUUGAUGGUGUUCCCAACCACCGCUCCCAUCUCACCCGCCACCGGCAUCACCCCAUCCUUACCUGUGUCGUCGUCGCUCCCAAUAUCUUCCACCAGCGGCCACUCAACAACACCGCCGCUCCACCCUCCACACCCCCGUCGACCACCACCACUAGACAACCUGGCCUCCAUUCCUGAUGCUCCCUCACUGCCCCCGUCCUCCGGCCCUCCAACAUCGUUCUCACCUGACCCGAAUCCACUAACCUCCAUGACUCAGUCCGCCCUACCAGACACAACAUCAUCACCUCCUCCUACCACAACUGCUCCGGCCGCUCCACCAUCUGAGGUCCCACGCCGGUCAGAUCGACCCCGAAAACCACCUUCAUACCUCGCCGAUUACAAAACCAACCAUGCCGUUCUGCUUGGCCAAGCCGUCGCUCUCCCCUCCACGUCUGGCACUCGGUAUCCGCUGCAAAGGUACAUUUCCUACUCUGGUUUGUCAUCUAAUUAUCGCUCAUUUGUGAACAACAUAUCUCAAUUAGUCGAACCAGCGAAUUAUGAACAGGCAAGCCGUGAUCCGCAAUGGGUUGCGGCCAUGAACACUGAAAUUCAAGCUCUGGAAGAUAACGGGACAUGGUCCAUGGUCCCUUUGCCUCUAGGUCAACGCCCUAUCGGUUGUAAAUGGGUCUUCAAGAUCAAGUAUCAUUCUGAUGGUACAAUUGAACGGUACAAGGCUCGACUUGUCGCCAAGGGAUUUAAUCAGAGAGAAGGGAUUGAUUACAAGGACACCUUUGCUCCGGUGGCCAAGUUGAUCACUGUACGUUGCUUGUUGGCUAUUGCUGCUGUCCGCAACUGGCCAUUACACCAGAUGGACGUCCAAAACGCCUUCUUACAUGGCAAACUACUUGAAGAGGUGUAUAUGUUGCCGCCACCCGGUUAUCGCCGACAUGGGGAGAAUUCAGUUUGUCAGCUCCACAAGUCCUUAUACGGCCUCAAACAAGCUUCCCGUAGUUGGUUUCAACGGUUCUCAUCAUCCAUUCAAGAAAUCGGUUUCCAACAGUCUCGUGCCGAUUAUUCUUUGUUUACUCAGGUUCGUGACAAUUCUAUUACAGUGGUGUUGCUUUAUGUGGAUGACAUGAUCAUAACAGGGAAUAAUGAGGAGGCCAUUCUUAGUCUCAAGCAAUUCCUUAAUAGCCGUUUCAAAAUUAAAGACCUUGGACCUUUGAAAUAUUUUCUGGGCAUCGAAGUUGCGCGCUCAGAGGCUGGGAUUACAAUUUGCCAACGAAAGUACACGUUGGAUAUUUUGGAAGAAGCUGGAUUAUUGGGAGUGAAACCUGCAACAGUACCUAUGGAACCUGAUUUGGUGUUAACAACAAAGGGAAGUGAUGCUCUGAAAAACCCAACCAGGUUUCGACGUCUGAUUGGGAAAUUGAUCUAUUUAACAAUCACCAGGCCAGACAUCACAUUUGCCGUCAAUACUCUCAGCCAAUUCAUGCAAGAACCAAAGCUACAUCACUUUAAGGCAGCUCUUCGCCUUCUCCAUUAUCUAAAAUCGGUCCCUGGCCAAGGAUUAUUCUUCUCAUCACAAAAUCAUCUUCGGUUGAUUGGUUAUUGUGAUGCGGAUUGAGCUAGAUGUCCAUUGACACGUCGCUCAGUGACAGGAUAUUGUAUUUUCCUUGGACAAUCACUUGGCUCAUGGAAAAGUAAGAAACAAGCAACAGUGUCUAGAUCCUCAGCUGAAGCUGAAUAUCGUUCGAUGGCAGCAUCCUCUUGUGAGCUCUCUUGGCUUAGAUACUUGUUGACAGAUUUACGGGUGCUUCAUCCUGAACCAGCAUUACUCUUUUGCGACAAUCAAGCUGCUUUACACAUAGCAGCGAAUCCAGUUUAUCAUGAGAGAACUAAACAUAUUGAGUUAGAUUGUCACACUGUGCGUGAAAGAAUUCAGAAGGGGGAAGUCAAAACAGCUUAUGUGUCAACUGGAAAUCAAAUAGCCGAUAUGUUUACGAAGCCAUUGCGAGCACCUGCUUUUCACACACAUCUUGACAAGUUGGGCGUUCUUGAUAUCCACACUCCAACUCGAGGGGGAGUAUUAAAGGAAGAAAAUCAGGUUCAAAUGAUUAUUUGUAUCAAUGGAAUGAUUUCAGCUAUUAGAGUGAUUGUUGGAUCAAAAUUCUAUUUAGAUAAUUAGACUUGAUACUUUCCUAGAAUAGUUUCAUUCUCAUUGUAUAUAUGUAAGAGUGCUGUAUCUAUUUUAGAGAUCUAUACACAAACCUUCAUACUCAUAUUCUUAUAGUUUAGAAUGAAGUUAUACUACUCUGUAAGAAUGAACUGCAGUUUUAUAAGAAAACAGAAGGGAUCGGAUGUUCUUAUAAAUGAGGGUGUGUCAAUGCUCAUUUUUGUAGAUAGAGAUGAAACAGGCUUUAAUUUAGAUGCCGAAAAGGACCAUUUUCGCAUCAGUUUCUACUUCCAUAUGGGGGUUGGUGUUUGUUUUAAAACAGCUUUGUUAUCAUAUACUUCAAGAGUUCCCCAAACAACUGUAUUAGUACAUUGAUAUUGAUUUUGAUGUGGCCUUGCAGCUGAUCCUUUCUAGCUUGUGCACAGAAAUCAAUUACAGUAAUCAAGAGAGCGAUUCUUUACAUGUUUGAUUCACCAAACUCAAAACUCCACUAUUUUCUUCAAUAGAAUUCAACAUGCCAAAUGAAGCCGCUUGAUAGAAUAAAGAAAAAGCACACAUGCACACAAUCAAAAGCAAGCAAUAGCAAGCCUCUUCUUGAUUUGGAAGAAGCAAAUCAAUAAUCAGCUGCUAUUAAGUAGAGAGAUCAGAAUCACAUCCUGUACUCUUUAAGGCUAUUCCCACUUCAAGGUCUUCACCACUUCCCAUGUAAAGUCAGGAUCAUCUCUACCAAAGUGUCCAUAAGCAGCUGUCUUCAAAUACCUUCCCCUCUUGAGGUCCAAGUUAAUGGCAAUCAUUCCAGGCCUAAAAUCAAAGGCCUCCUUCACUAACUUCAGAAUCUCCUUGUCUGGAAUCUUUCCAGUCUUAUAAGUGUCAACAAACACUGAUAGUGGCUCAGGUACACCAAUUGCAUAUGAGACCUGCACUAUGCACCUUCUAGCAAGGCCAUUGGCUACAAUGCUCUUAGCAGCCUGCCUAACAAUGUAUGCACCGCUCCUGUCUACCUUGGUAGGGUCCUUGCCGGAGAAGGCACCACCACCAUGAGCUCCCCAACCACCAUAGGUGUCGAUGAUGAUCUUUCGGCCAGUUAGACCUGCAUCACCGUGCGGUCCACCAAUCACAAAUCGACCUGAAGGGUUGAGAUGGAAAAUAGUCUUCUCAUCUAGGUACUUCUCAGGAACAACUGGCUUAAUGACAUGUUUCUUGAGGUCAGCUGCAAUUUCAUCAUUGGUAACAGUCUCAUCAUGCUGAGUAGAAAUGAGAACCGUGUGGACACGGAGUGGAACCAUAGCACCAUGGUCAUUGUAGUACUCCACAGUGACUUGAGUCUUGCCAUCAGGUCUCAGCCAAGGGCAGGUGCCAUUUUUUCGAACAUCAGUGAGACGUGCACCAAGCUGUGUAGCAAGAACAUGGCUGAGAGGCAUAAGCUCAGGAGUCUCAUCAGUGGCAUAACCAAACAUGUGACCCUGGUCUCCUGCACCAAUUUCCUCGGGCCGCUUGGUGAGGUGGCCAUGCACACCCUGAGCUAUAUCAGGGCUUUGUUGCUCAAUGUUCACCAGGACCUUGCAGUUGUCAGCAUCAAGGCCUACAGCAUCCGAAACAAAUCCAAUGCUGCGGCAGGUGUCGCGCACUAUCUUCUCAUAGUCCACUUUGGCUUUGGUUGUGAUCUCUCCGAAAACCAUGACCAUGUUGGUCUUGGUGCAAGUCUCACAGGCAACUUUGCUGUCAGGAUCUUGUUCAAGGCAGGCAUCAAGCACUGCAUCGGAAAUCUGAUCACAGAGCUUAUCAGGGUGUCCCUCAUUCACAGACUCGGAGGUAAAGAGGAAGGUGUCCAUUUUUAGAAGCUGCAAUAGGACCAAUAUUUGGAAUGAAUAAGAACCUCAGCUUUUAAUUAACCAGUAGCUAAGCAACAUAUUAAGUUAUUAACAAGCAAUAUUACAAGUGUUGGAAUAAGACAUCAAGUCCAUAUCUAAGAUUGCUUUACUUGGAGCAUCUGAACAUGGUAUCUUAGCAUAACUUUCACAAAUUUAUACCUUCCAAAAGUAACUAUACUAAAGGAAAGGGAAACAGGCAACCUUCUACCACCCACCAUUAAAGAACAAAUCCGAUAAAAUCUAACAGAAGGAGAAUCAGCCCUGUUAAACAUCAUGUAGAAAUGGCCUAAAGUCCUAAACUCCUGACUUAACUUUUGAGAACAUAUAUGAAAGUAAAACUCUUCAAGAUCAAGCAAUCAGAGGAACAUCACUGCAAGCAAGUACAACAUUUUGGUGCCCAAUUAAGAAAUCCAAUAAAACACUAUUCCAUAUGACUUUAAGGCAAAGAAACAAAAGCUAGAAGUCAGACAAGCCCAGAGUUGGGUGCCAAAGACAUGAACUUUUGACUCAUUUCUGUAACAGUACUCAGGAAACAAAACAGUCAAUUGAUCAAAACUAAUUGUGAGGCAAUUACAACCAACAAACAACUCAAGAAAGCCAGGAAAUUACAUGUUUACAAUCAAAAGACUAAUUGAACUCCAUAUGAAGACCCCCUAAUGAUAGUUCAGUCAUACAAAAACCCAAAGAAUCAGACACGAGCCCAGAAGCAAAGAAAAAAUCUCGAAGUUGAGUACAAAACCAAGUGAAUUGCAGCAAUCAUCUUAAAAGUAAGAGAAAAAAGAAAGCAAAAGGCCUUAGCAUGAAAUAUAAUAUAUGCUUCGUACUCACUGCUUACUUGAUAAGCAAGAAUCCUGAGCUGCCUAUAUUCUGGGUGCCAAAGCUGGAAUCUUAGGCUCUCUCACACAGAAACUCUAGCUCAGGGCUUUGUAUUUAUAGAGGGAACUUCAUGAAGGUUAUUGGUGCAUGUGUUUCAUGAAGUUUCUUGGCCAUUGGAUGAAAUGAACAGACGACUUAGAUUGAACGGAGUCGGUGGACUAAAGCGACUGACCCUCCGAUUUGGUUAAUUUUGAGGUUUUGUCCAUGGAGGUUUGUAUAUAUUUGCAGUCACUUUUUUGUCUACGUACCUACUUGAGAUUCCAUUAUGUCGAUCAAAUAACUUUGAGAUUCCAUUAUGUCGAUCAAAAAACUAUGAGAUUCCAUUACGCCUACUUUUGCUUUUUCAACCACUACCUAUGUUUUAGGAUCGACCAGAAACAGGCACAGUUCUUCAUUUAGAGAUACAUCUCGAAUAUUUGAUUUCGAGAAAACAUCUACAAUUGUUCAUAGUGUUUUUUCUCAAGAACCCGCUGCAAGCCUGGAAGGAAUCUAAAGUUUACUCGUCGUGAAAUAUGGUUGUUUCUCCCUACAUAUCUCUUGAAUCUGCACAAACUUGGGUGUUGGGAGUUGGUGAAGUUUAUAUUUCCAAGUCGACCAACUCCAUGAUGUAGUCACACACGAUCAUGACAUGAUGAUCAAUAAUUAAAGUUCACAUUAACUAGAUCUCUAUUUGGCUUGGCACUUCAUGCAUCAUGCAUAUCUGUAAAUUGAUAUUUUAAACUCUAAUGUCCUCAUACUAGCCAAAAACUUGCCUUAAUUUUGUUCAUUAGAUGAAAGAUUACCAUCACCAUGAUAUAUAAUCAUACUUUGCUUUCUAUCUCUUUCAGGUGGUAAGGGAUUUUAUAUAUAUAAAGUUCAACACAUGCAAACUGCGCUGAAACACAUUGUAAUUAUUACUUGGUCUGACCGACGUCCUUAGAUUUUUGAUUAUCACUAAAACAAAUAUAAUCAGAAAAGGGUGAAUCUGAAUCAUAUAUUAUUAAGAUCCUGGUGAUGGGUAGGCCUCGUUAGAACUCAUAAUUCAUCAAAGUAUUGGAUUCCACGUUGUUUGCACAUCAUGCAAAUGGCCUCCACCUAACGUCUUUUGAAUUUACACAGUAAUUAAGCAAGGAAAAAGAUAGGUAUAAGGGAUAUAAUGUUAAGUUGUUGGAUUAUGGUUGGUCUAAUUUGAGUUGAUUUAGAGAACAUAUAUAUAUAUAUGUAUAACUUCUUAAAUCCUGCCGUAUGAUGUCACAGAGCAGUCCCAUAUAUGUCACAUAGCAUUAUAGAAAGUUUAGAAACUUUACCUUUAAUCAUUUUAUAGGAAAGUUUAACAUUCUUUUUAGAAAGAAAAAAAAUCAUAAAUGAUCACUGACUUUUGAUCCAUUAAUCAGUUUACUCACUCACAUUUCAAAAAUGUCACUUAACUCACUCACUUUUGAUUAUAUCUCUCACUUAACUCACUGCCGUUAAACUUACCGUUAGGAACUGUUAACAUCGAAGGUAUAUUUGUCUAAUCACGUAAAAUAUUUCUAACUUAUUUUUAAAUUUAUUUCUAAAGUUAUUAGAUCAUUUUCCAAUUUUUUCUUGAAAUUUCUAUGAAAAAGAGUAACUUUAAAAAAUCUGAAAUUAUUUUGAAAAAAUAUAUUAUUUGUAGUUCUUUUUUUUCUGGUACAAAUUAUUUGUAGUUCUUUUCAUCAUAAAAAAGAAAUUAACUUAAAAAUUAAUGCAUAUUUACCUUAAUUAUUUGAAAGUUAUUAAAUUAUGGGACAAUGCCUACUAGCCUUAAAUUUAAGAUUUUUCUUCCCACUAACAAAAUCAGAUUUUUAAAUUCCGACGAGUUAACUUACACAACAAAAAGACAAGUAUGCCCUUAAUGAAUUAAUAAACUAUAACAGAACAUUAUAAAAGUCUAGUAUGAAAUAAAGAUUUUUAUGACCGGAUUCCCAAGGCGGGCGACUGUUGACCAAACUCCGACAACCGUUGAUCGGACUCCGACAACCGUUUACAUGAUUCCGACGACCGUUGACUGGAGUCCGACAAUAUGAUGUCUACUGGGGGUAGUAGGAGGGUCUACUGACAAAAUGAUGUCUACAUGGGACAGUAGAAGGGUCUAUUAGGGACAGUAGGGGAUCAUGAGGGUCUACUGAAGGGCAGUAGGGGUUUACUAAAUGCAAUAGAAGGGUCAGGAGGGUCAACUGGCUGAUGGACAUAAAAAAUAGCAUCACCGAACAUAGAACCCAAUGCACAAUUAGCAGAGGAUUGUUUGCAAGGUACAUCCAUCUAUUCUACCAAUACAUAUACUUGCAAAGCACAUAUCAUUCAACCCUGAACUAGAACACUACAAACAUUCAAAUGCUCACCACUGUGGACUUGGCACCAAACUCAUAUCCUAAAGCUUCAAACUACGAAAUAUGAAUAGCAAGCUCCCUAAAGUUCACGAAAAUUGCAAACUGAACAUAAAGCAUCUGGUCUAUCACACCCAACAACAUCAACAACUUGAACAAAGAUAAGACAUUAACAAUAAUUUAAUUGAGGUAUUAGUCUACUACCACCAUAGAAAGCGACGUCACUUCUCUAAUAACCAUGAAUGAAUUAGUAUUUAAUUUGGUCAUAAUCACAACUCCACAAGACCUCGACCUCACCAAACACUGCUUCAACUAUUUUCUGAACAGAAUUCUUCACGCUUGAACUUAAAUCCGGCGAUCGGUGCCGAGAUUGAAGAUGAAGCAAGAAGAGGAAGAGGAGUGACCUUGCUCAUGGGGACCUAAUCUUUAUUUACAAUUCCUCAAAACCAAAGAAAAAAAAAUCUCAACUGACCGCCGAAAAGCUGACGAUCUCAACGGCAGACUUGGAGACGAUCUCAAUGCAGAGGACUUUGAGGCAGAUCCACCACCGCUGAAAAGCUGACGAUUAGAUCCACCACCGUUGUCAGAUUCAUACCGGUGUUAGGGCACUGAGGACGAUCUCGACGCAGAUCCAAGAGUGGUAAAGUCGAUGUGAUUUAUGGCGAAGGUUGGGGAGUGGAGGGAGGAGCCGUUGAGGCGGGGUU